GAUGAACGCUAGCUACAGGCUUAACACAUGCAAGUCGAGGGGCAGCAUGAAAUCAGCUUGCUGAUUUUGAUGGCGACCGGCGCACGGGUGAGUAACGCGUAUCCGACCUGCCCCGUACUCAUGGAUAGCCUUGCGAAAGCAAGGGUAAUACAUGAUGUUGUCAUUGUUCUGCAUGGGAUGAUGACCAAAGGUUUACCGGUACGGGAUGGGGAUGCGUAACAUUAGGUAGUAGGCGGGGGUAACGCCCACCUAGCCUACGAUGUUUAGGGGUUCCUGAGAGGAAGGUCCCCCANACUGGAACUGAGACACGGUCCAGACUCCUACGGGAGGCAGCAGUGAGGAAUAUUGGUCAAUGGUCGAGAGACUGAACCGAGCCAAGUAGCGUGCAGGAUG
This 393-nucleotide ribosomal RNA is filed under the name uncultured bacterium. RNAcentral's name for it is "bacterial SSU rRNA". It matches the Rfam family "Bacterial small subunit ribosomal RNA", at positions 28 to 410 of the family's 1533-position model. The record is from RNAcentral.